This 403-nucleotide ribosomal RNA is filed under the name uncultured bacterium. Its description in RNAcentral is "bacterial SSU rRNA". It matches the Rfam family "Bacterial small subunit ribosomal RNA", at positions 917 to 1322 of the family's 1533-position model. The record is from RNAcentral.
GGGCCCGCACAAGCGGCGGAGCAUGUGGUUUAAUUCGAUGCAACGCGAAAAACCUUACCUACUCUUGACAUACUUGGAAGCUCUUGUAAUGAGAGUGUGCCUUUUGGAACCAAGAUACAGGUGCUGCAUGGCUGUCGUCAGCUCGUGUCGUGAGAUGUUCCGUUAAGUCGGAUAACGAGCGCAACCCUUACCCUUAUUUGCCAGCGAUUCGGUCGGGAACUAUAAGGGGACUGCCGGUGAUAAACCGGAGGAAGGUGAGGACGACGUCAAGUCAUCAUGGCCCUUACGAGUAGGGCUACACACGUGCUACAAUGGGGAAUACAGACGGACGCUAAGCCGCGAGGUGGUGCUAAUCCCAAAAAGCUGUCUCAGUUCGGAUUGUUGUCUGCAACUCGACAACAUG